This 65-nucleotide transfer RNA is filed under the name Antarctonemertes valida. RNAcentral's name for it is "tRNA-Ile". Lineage: Eukaryota; Metazoa; Nemertea; Enopla; Monostilifera; Oerstediidae. The record is from RNAcentral.
AGUAUUGUGCCGGAAUAAACGGGUUGUGUUGAUGAUGCAAAUGAUGAGAAUUUUCUCCAUUAUUA